Molecule: ribosomal RNA, 475 nt
Filed under: Fulvia colorata
Lineage: Eukaryota; Metazoa; Mollusca; Bivalvia; Cardiida; Cardiidae
Description: partial 16S ribosomal RNA
Rfam family: Bacterial large subunit ribosomal RNA
Source: RNAcentral
CAAAAACAUCUCUCCUUGAGUUAAUGAAUUAGGAGUAGGCCCUGCCCGGUGGAUUAUCUAAACGGAAUAUUGUUUAAAGUAGCGUAAUAAUUCGUCCCUUAAUUAGGGUCUGUAUGAAUGGGUUGACGUGGAGUAACUGUCUCUGAAAAAUAGAUUGAAAUUUUCUUUUUAGUGAAAAGCCUAAAAUGACCUUAAAAGACGAGAAGACCCCGUCGAGCUUAAGAAAAAGAGAGGAGGCUUCCUUUUUUUUCAGGUUUGUUGGGGCAACAGAGGAGAAAAAAACCUCCUUUAUUUAUUGAGAUCCGUAUUUAACGAAAAUAGGAAAAAGUUACCGCGGGGAUAACAGCGUAAGACGGCUUGGGAGUUCUUAUCUAAGGCCGUAAGUGCGACCUCGAUGUUGGAUUAAGGUGAGCUUAAGGGUGCAGCAGCUCUUAAAGCGGGACUGUUCGUCCUUUAAAUCCUUACAUGAUCUGAG